RNAcentral lists this long non-coding RNA (215 nucleotides) under Gossypium barbadense (sea-island cotton). RNAcentral's name for it is "long non-coding RNA (GBAR_LNC007600)". The record is from RNAcentral. Lineage: Eukaryota; Viridiplantae; Streptophyta; Magnoliopsida; Malvales; Malvaceae.
CGAACAUAACUUUAAAUCGACAUAUUAACAAAACCUAAGUAAAUCUUUUUUAAAGUAAAAGAAAAUAAAUAAAAUUUUGGAUGAAAUUAUCCCAAAUUAAUUAUAAGGAUCAAAAUCAUAAUUUAAGUUUAAAUCUAUAUAUGAAUUACACAAGACCUCAUUAAAGAAACAAUCUCAGUGCGUGAAUCUUUGUAGUGGAUCAAAGCGCAAAAUUU